This is a long non-coding RNA of Macadamia integrifolia, 225 nucleotides long. RefSeq lists it as uncharacterized. The transcript has 3 exons. Lineage: Eukaryota; Viridiplantae; Streptophyta; Magnoliopsida; Proteales; Proteaceae. The record is from RefSeq and is a predicted model, not a curated record.
GGAGGCUUUGGCAGUACUGCAAAGAUUCAAGGAUUUGUCCAGAAAGCGUCAUCGUUGGGAGAGACAGACCGAUCAGGCGAUUCUCCCCUUCUCCUUUUCUUUACUCCUCUUUGUCUCCUUGAUUCUUUGUUGCUCGGUGAUUCUUUCGAGGGUAUAUGGAGAUUGAGAGGUUUUCAGCCAUUUGAGUGAGAAAAUGUCAACUUCAAAACAAGCAGUUAAUGAGAC